Molecule: non-coding RNA, 2471 nt
Organism: Solanum lycopersicum (tomato)
Lineage: Eukaryota; Viridiplantae; Streptophyta; Magnoliopsida; Solanales; Solanaceae
Source: RefSeq, a predicted model, not a curated record
AAUGUCCUUGAUGACCAAAUCCUAAAGGUAACACCUACUAUGUACUUGAGAGGUCAUUAUGUUGCAACAUUUUUACUUGGAAGUGAAAAAAUACACAACUUGUUACUAAUAGAUACUGGAAAUUACUUUACUUGGUGGCAAUGUGCACCAUGCAUUGAAGACAAAUGUUACAAACCACAAUUUUAUACAAUAUACAACUAUACCACAUCAAACACAUAUAGAAGUUUGGAUUGUGUUACAAAUAGUUCAACUUGCAUAACAACCACCUCUGAUUUUCAUUGUUCAUUAGAAACUAAAUCAUGUUUCUAUGUACAUGUCUAUGACAAUGGUGAAACAACAAAAGGAUUCGUCGCGUCGGAUAUCAUAACAUUUCCAUCAGACAAUACACAAGCAAGGAUUAAUUUUGGAUGUAGUGUUGAUCAAAAAAGUGGUAGUGAUUUUAGUGGUACAUUUUCUGGGAUUGUUGGUCUAAGUAAAAAAUUAAGUGCAAAAACAACAGGAGGAUAUUCAUUACCAUCACAAUUAGGUUCAUCAUUAUUUGCAUUAUGUCUACCAAGCUCAAAAUCAACGCAACCAUCUAUACUAACGUUUAAUAAAGCUCCUUGGAUAUAUGGAACAGAGGCAAAGUUUGUGAAAAAUCGAUUAAACCCUCAUUUAUACUAUGUUAAUCUUUAUAAAAUUUUCAUCAACGAUAAGGAAGUCCCCGUGGAUCCAUCGUGGUGGAGUGGUAAGAAAGAUGAUCAUGGUGCAAUGGUUGAUACAGGGUCGUUGAUAACGCGAUUUCCUCAUGACUUAUACAUAGUUUUUAGAUACAUAUUUAGAGAAGAAAUGAAAUAUCCAAUGUUACAAUAUCCUAUUGGUGUAUUUGAUACUUGUUAUAAAGAAGAAGAGAAUGAAGAUAUGUAUUUUCCAAUUAUAAGGUUUUAUUUUGGGAGUGUGUCACAUAAACAAGAGUUGAUGUUAGUACAAGAGAGAGUUGUAGCUGAUUUACAAGGGUUUUAUUGUUUGGCUUUUUUGCCAUGGGAUGAUAAAACAACACUUAUAGGGUCACAUCAACUUCAAGGCACAGGAUUAACUUUUGAUUUCAAAAAUAAUGCUUUGACUUUUAGUGUUGAUGCUUGUGAUUAAUGAGCUAUGUAUAAGAAUUAUUCAAUCAAUAAAUUAUAUGCUUUUUUUUUUAUUUUAGUUAUGCCAAAUACUUUGUUAUUUAUGAUUGAUUUAUGGGUCAUUGUGUACGUUGGAUUCUUAUGGAUAUUGUAGAUUUUGUUGACUACUUUAAUGAAAUGGAUGGAGUAUAAAUCUCAUUCUUUCUUGCAUCUCAAUCGCGUAUCUGAUAUGUGUGGCACAAAUGCAUUUCGUGAUGUGACGUACACAAAAUAAUAUACAAAUAUAAUACGCGGUACAAUCAUAAAUAUAAAGAUGUAUAUGUAUAUAACCAGCUAUUAAUAUUUGUGCAUAUAUUGGGCCCGUGCGUACACAGGCAACUGUCAUUGGGUGUGUGAAAGAUAAGGAAUUGGGUAUUGGGAGAGGAUUAAUGGGUAUUUGGGCCGGGUUUGGAGGAAAAUUGGAUUGGGUUUGCAAUUGAUUUGGGCUAAGAAAAAGAUUUAUCACUUGAAAAAAAUCGUUUCAUGAUUCGUUCAAUCCAUUUAUGUUUAUGCGAGUUAAUAAACAUAGUCAUUUCCCUUUAAUUACUUGAGCUUAUUUCGAUCCACCAUUUAAUAGUUUUACACCGAAUUUCAAAUCUAAUACAUUUAUAUACAUGUAUUUUUGUUACCAGAAUACAAAUACAUAAUGUUAGUUGGAUAUAUGAAUAUUGUAUAUCUUGAAUAAAUUACACCUAUUUUAACUCAAUACAAAUGAGACAUAUAUCUCUAACGGCUGAAAUGUGACACGAAUAGUAAUUAUAAAAAACUCAUGAUCUGAUAUUAAACCCUAAACGAAUAAAAUUUAUAUUGUUUGUCCUUUUGAACCUGAGUUUAUAUGUUUACCAAACGAGUAGAUACCAAACCAUGCACACCCCAUAUGUGUUUACCAAACAAGUAGAUAAGUUAUACAUCAAUUUGACCAGUUUAUAAGUUUAGUCAAACAUCCUCGUAAAUCAUAUUAAAAGUUAAAGGAGUCAAUAUGUAAUUACUAUAAUCUUUGGGGGCUCAAGUGAAAUUAUCUUGUACAAAUGCUGACCAAAUAUACUAAAAAUAGAAAGAGGAAAACAAAAACAUAGUGAUAAAGAACUCAUCACCACAGAGAGAGAGAGGAGAAAAGGAAAAAAAAAUGGUGCUUAGUGCUACAGUACCCAUCAUCAAUGGAGGUAUCAACAUAAGGGCAAAAUCGGAAUUUCAUCAUUCACCUGUUAGAAAGCAUCUCCAGGGAGAGAGAGAACAAAGAAGGAAGUGAUCAUGGUGGAUCCUUUAGAAGCCAAGCGAUUAGCUGCGAAGCAAAUGGUGGAAAUCAAAGCUAAAGAGAGAUAUCAA